This 387-nucleotide ribosomal RNA is filed under the name uncultured Sphingobacterium sp. RNAcentral describes it as "bacterial SSU rRNA". It matches the Rfam family "Bacterial small subunit ribosomal RNA", at positions 9 to 394 of the family's 1533-position model. The record is from RNAcentral. Lineage: Bacteria; Pseudomonadati; Bacteroidota; Sphingobacteriia; Sphingobacteriales; Sphingobacteriaceae.
GAGUUUGAUCCUGGCUCAGGAUGAACGCUAGCGGCAGGCCUAAUACAUGCAAGACGAGCGGUAAAUGUUUCAGCAAUGAGAUAUGAGAGCGUCGUAAGGGUGCGUAACACGUAUGCAAUCUGCCCGGGACCGGAGCAUAGCUCGCCGAAAGGCGGAUUAACUCUCCAUAAGAUGGUGGUGCGGCAUCGCAGAGCCAUUAAAUCUCCGGAGGUCCUGGAUGAGCAUGCGGAUGAUUAGCUAGUUGGUGGUGUAACGGACCACCAAGGCGAUGAUCAAUAGGGGAACUGAGAGGUUGAUCCCCCACACUGGCACUGAGAUACGGGCCAGACUCCUACGGGAGGCAGCAGUAGGGAAUAUUGGACAAUGGGUGCAAGCCUGAUCCAGCCA